AGUGAACGCUGGCGGUAGGCCUAACACAUGCAAGUCGAACGGCAGCACAGUAAGAGCUUGCUCUUACGGGUGGCGAGUGGCGGACGGGUGAGGAAUACAUCGUAAUCUACUUUUUCGUGGGGGAUAACGUAGGUAAACUUACGCUAAUACCGCAUACGACCUACGGGUGAAAGCAGGGGAUCUUCUGACCUUGCGCGAUUGAAUGAGCCGAUGUCGGAUUAGCUAGUUGGCGGGGUAAAGGCCCACCAAGGCGACGAUCCGUAGCUGGUCUGAGUGGAUGGUCAGCCACACUGGAACUGGGACACGGUCAAGACGCCUACGGGAGGCAGCAGUGGGGAAUAUUGGACAAUGGGCGCAAGCCUGAUCCAGCCAUACCGCGUGGGUGAAGAAGGCCUUCGGGUUGUAAAGCCCUUUUGUUGGGAAAGAAAAGCAGCAGGUUAAUACCACGCUGUUCUGACGGUACCCAAAGAAUAAGCACCGGCUAACUUCGUG
This 492-nucleotide ribosomal RNA is filed under the name uncultured bacterium. RNAcentral describes it as "partial 16S ribosomal RNA". It matches the Rfam family "Bacterial small subunit ribosomal RNA", at positions 29 to 507 of the family's 1533-position model. The record is from RNAcentral.